GCAGCGGAGCGUGUGGUUUAAUUCGAUGCUACACGAAGAACCUUACCAGGGUUUGACAUGCAAGUGGUAGGAAACCGAAAGGCGACCGACCCUUUCGAGGAGCUUGCACAGGUGCUGCAUGGCUGUCGUCAGCUCGUGUCGUGAGAUGUUCGGUUAAGUCCGCUAACGAGCGCAACCCUCGCUGUGUGUUACAAGUGUCACACGGUACUGCCGGUCUUAAGCCGGAGGAAGGUGGGGAUGACGUCAAGUCCUCAUGGCCCUUAUAGGUGGGGCUACACACGUCAUACAAUGGCCGGUGCAGAGGGUAGCCAACCCGCGAGGGGGAGCCAAUCCCACAAAGCCGGUCGUAGUCCGGAUCGCAGUCUGCAACUCGACUGCGUGAAGUCGGAAUCGCUAGUAAUCGCGGAUCAGCAUGUCGCGGUGAAUACGUUCCCGGGUCUU
This 441-nucleotide ribosomal RNA is filed under the name uncultured Anaerolineaceae bacterium. RNAcentral describes it as "bacterial SSU rRNA". It matches the Rfam family "Bacterial small subunit ribosomal RNA", at positions 929 to 1382 of the family's 1533-position model. The record is from RNAcentral. Lineage: Bacteria; Bacillati; Chloroflexota; Anaerolineae; Anaerolineales; Anaerolineaceae.